This 460-nucleotide ribosomal RNA is filed under the name uncultured bacterium. RNAcentral describes it as "partial 16S ribosomal RNA". It matches the Rfam family "Bacterial small subunit ribosomal RNA", at positions 338 to 795 of the family's 1533-position model. The record is from RNAcentral.
CCUACGGGCGGCAGCAGUGAGGAAUAUUGGUCAAUGGACGAGAGUCUGAACCAGCCAAGUAGCGUGAAGGAUGACUGCCCUAUGGGUUGUAAACUUCUUUUAUAUGGGAAUAAUAAGUUCCACGUGUGGGAUUUUGUAUGUACCAUAUGAAUAAGGAUCGGCUAACUCCGUGCCAGCAGCCGCGGUAAUACGGAGGAUUCGAGCGUUAUCCGGAUUUAUUGGGUUUAAAGGGAGCGUAGGUGGAUUGUUAAGUCAGUUGUUAAAGUUUGCGGCUUAACCGUAAAAUUGCAGUUGAAACUGGAAGUCUUGAGUACAGUAGAGGUGGGCGGAAUACGUGGUGUAGCGGUGAAAUGCUUAGAUAUCACGAAGAACUCCGAUUGCGAAGGCAGCUCACUGGACUGCAACUGACACUGAGGCUCGAAAGUGUGGGUAUCAAACAGGAUUAGAUACCCGGGUAGUC